CAGCACCGCGGUAAUACGUAGGUGGCAAGCGUUGUCCGGAAUUAUUGGGCGUAAAGGGCUCGCAGGCGGUUUCUUAAGUCUGAUGUGAAAGCCCCCGGCUCAACCGGGGAGGGUCAUUGGAAACUUGGAAACUUGAGUGCAGAAGAGGAGAGUGGAAUUCCACGUGUAGCGGUGAAAUGCGUAGAGAUGUGGAGGAACACCAGUGGCGAAGGCGACUCUCUGGUCUGUAACUGACGCUGAGGAGCGAAAGCGUGGGGAGCGAACAGGAUUAGAGACCCCCGUAGUCCCUGUCUUUAUACAC
This 301-nucleotide ribosomal RNA is filed under the name uncultured bacterium. RNAcentral's name for it is "partial 16S ribosomal RNA". It matches the Rfam family "Bacterial small subunit ribosomal RNA", at positions 509 to 810 of the family's 1533-position model. The record is from RNAcentral.